UACAGAGGUCUCAAGCGUUGUUCGGAUUCAUUGGGCGUAAAGGGUGCGUAGGCGGCGCGGUAAGUCGGGUGUGAAAUCUCGGAGCUUAACUCCGAAACUGCAUUCGAUACUGCCGUGCUUGAGGACUGGAGAGGAGACUGGAAUUUACGGUGUAGCGGUGAAAUGCGUAGAUAUCGUAAGGAAGACCAGUGGCGAAAGCGGCGCGCUGGACACCUACUGACGCUGAGGCGCGAAAGCCAGGGGAGCAAACGGG
Molecule: ribosomal RNA, 253 nt
Filed under: uncultured bacterium
Lineage: Bacteria
Description: partial 16S ribosomal RNA
Rfam family: Bacterial small subunit ribosomal RNA
Source: RNAcentral